UUAGCUGCUCUCGGAGCGGCAGGGCAGGCCCAGACCAGCGGUCUCGCGGCGACCGCAGGCCCCCCACCGCAGCUCCCAGAAUGCUCUCGGCCGGCGCGUCUGGGCCCUCCACCGCUGUGCGCCGGCACGUGAGGCUUCGUGCGGCCUAUUCCGGAGAGGAAAUGGUUGCGGCCGCCUCUUAUGUUGUGGGAGCGUGAUGGGGUUUUGUGGUGCGGAUGGGAAGACUGCGGAGGGUGUGGACGUUGGGCGGAGCCCAAGGUUGGGGUGCCGGGUGGGUUGCCCGCAAAGUGCGUGCCCACCCCGAGAGGGCCUUGCGGGCUGGGGUCUCUGCGCAAGCGCGGACCUAGCGUCGCGGCCGGGCGCUCUUGACUGCCGCGGUCAGUUACUGUCCAGGCGACUACGCCGCCUGCUAGAUGCACUUGAGGACCGAGCGCAGGCCAAGACCGUAAAAAGAAGCUUAACAAUGGAAGAAAUUGUAUCAUUGAUGUGGAGACAGUGGCCACGGGAUUGCUGAGGGCAGAGAGAGGGAGGAAGAGGUGUGAUAUGGGGCUUUUUUGGGACUUGGAGUUGUCCUCAGUGAUUUGCAGGGACAGAUGCAGGACGCUGUUUAUUCUGCUGUAACCCAUUGGAUGGACUGGGGGAGAGUGUGAACUACAAUGUAUGCUAUGGUCCGUGUGGUGUGGCACUGCUCUAGGGUGUAUCAUCAAAUGCAAUGAAUGUGCCUCACUGAUGAAAGGGCGUUUGUUGUGGGAAGAGCAGGGGUGGGGACCUCAUGUCUUUUAAAGUGACAUUUUGUGUGAUUUAUUUAUCUUUUUAAAAAAAUAGACAACAAAAACAAAGCUUAAUAAAGUUUACUUCUAAUCCAAUCU
RNAcentral lists this long non-coding RNA (869 nucleotides) under Dasypus novemcinctus (nine-banded armadillo). RNAcentral describes it as "lncRNA (ENSDNOG00000050800.1)". Lineage: Eukaryota; Metazoa; Chordata; Mammalia; Cingulata; Dasypodidae. The record is from RNAcentral.